UUGGAGAGUUUGAUCCUGGCUCAGGACGAACGCUGGCGGCGUGCUUAACACAUGCAAGUCGAACGGAAAGGCCCUGCUUUUGUGGGGUGCUCGAGUGGCGAACGGGUGAGUAACACGUGAGUAACCUGCCCUUGACUUUGGGAUAACUUCAGGAAACUGGGGCUAAUACCGGAUAGGAGCUCCUGCUGCAUGGUGGGGGUUGGAAAGUUUCGGCGGUUGGGGAUGGACUCGCGGCUUAUCAGCUUGUUGGUGGGGUAGUGGCUUACCAAGGCUUUGACGGGUAGCCGGCCUGAGAGGGUGACCGGCCACAUUGGGACUGAGAUACGGCCCAGACUCCUACGGGAGGCAGCAGUGGGGAAUAUUGCACAAUGGGCGGAAGCCUGAUGCAGCAACGCCGCGUGCGGGAUGACGGCCUUCGGGUUGUAAACCGCUUUCGCCUGUGACGAAGCGUGAGUGACGGUAAUGGGUAAAGAAGCACCGGCUAACUACGUGCCAGCAGCCGCGGUGAUACGUAGGGUGCGAGCGUUGUCCGGAUUUAUUGGGCGUAAAGGGCUCGUAGGUGGUUGAUCGCGUCGGAAGUGUAAUCUUGGGGCUUAACCCUGAGCGUGCUUUCGAUACGGGUUGACUUGAGGAAGGUAGGGGAGAAUGGAAUUCCUGGUGGAGCGGUGGAAUGCGCAGAUAUCAGGAGGAACACCAGUGGCGAAGGCGGUUCUCUGGGCCUUUCCUGACGCUGAGGAGCGAAAGCGUGGGGAGCGAACAGGCUUAGAUACCCUGGUAGUCCACGCUGUAAACGGUGGGUACUAGGUGUGGGGUCCAUUCCACGGGUUCCGUGCCGUAGCUAACGCUUUAAGUACCCCGCCUGGGGAGUACGGCCGCAAGGCUAAAACUCAAAGGAAUUGACGGGGCCCCGCACAAGCGGCGGAGCAUGCGGAUUAAUUCGAUGCAACGCGUAGAACCUUACCUGGGUUUGACAUGGAUCGGGAGCGCUCAGAGAUGGGUGUGCCUCUUUUGGGGUCGGUUCACAGGUGGUGCAUGGCUGUCGUCAGCUCGUGUCGUGAGAUGUUGGGUUAAGUCCCGCAACGAGCGCAACCCUUGUUCACUGUUGCCAGCACGUUAUGGUGGGGACUCAGUGGAGACCGCCGGGGUCAACUCGGAGGAAGGUGGGGAUGACGUCAAGUCAUCAUGCCCCUCAUGUCCAGGGCUUCACGCAUGCUACAAUGGCUGGUACAGAGAGUGGCGAGCCUGUGAGGGUGAGCGAAUCUCGGAAAGCCGGUCUCAGUUCGGAUUGGGGUCUGCAACUCGACCUCAUGAAGUCGGAGUCGCUAGUAAUCGCAGAUCAGCAACGCUGCGGUGAAUACGUUCCCGGGGCUUGUACACACCGCCCGUCAAGUCAUGAAAGUUGGUAACACCCGAAGCCGGUGGCCUAACCGUUGUGGGGGAGCCGUCGAAGGUGGGACUGGUGAUUAGGACUAAGUCGUAACAAGGUAGCCGUACCGGAAGGUGCGGCUGGAUCACCUCCUUUCUAAGGAG
This 1530-nucleotide ribosomal RNA is filed under the name Cutibacterium acnes TypeIA2 P.acn31. RNAcentral describes it as "16S ribosomal RNA". It matches the Rfam family "Bacterial small subunit ribosomal RNA". Lineage: Bacteria; Bacillati; Actinomycetota; Actinomycetes; Propionibacteriales; Propionibacteriaceae. The record is from RNAcentral.